RNAcentral lists this ribosomal RNA (552 nucleotides) under uncultured Methanotorris sp. RNAcentral's name for it is "bacterial SSU rRNA". It matches the Rfam family "Archaeal small subunit ribosomal RNA", at positions 56 to 615 of the family's 1478-position model. Lineage: Archaea; Methanobacteriati; Methanobacteriota; Methanococci; Methanococcales; Methanocaldococcaceae. The record is from RNAcentral.
AGUCAUUGUAGUAAUACAAGGCAGACAGCUCAGUAACGCGUAGUCAACCUAACUUAUGGACGGAAAUAACCUCGGGAAACUGAGGAUAAUGUCCGAUAGAUCAUUAUGCCUGGAAUGGUUUAUGGUCGAAACGAAUAUCGCCGUAGGAUGGGACUGCGAGCUAUCAGCUUGUUGGUGAGGUAAUGGCCCACCAAGGCAAUUACAGCUACGGGCUCUGAGAGGAGUAGCCCGGAGAUGGGUAUUGAGACAAGGACCCAGGCCCUAUGGGGCGCAGCAGGCGAGAAAACUUUGCAAUGUGCGAAAGCCCGACAAGGUUAAUCUGAGUGGUUCCUGCUAAAGGAACCUUUUGUUAGUCCUAAAAACACUGAUGAAUAAGGGGUGGGCAAGUUCUGGUGUCAGCCGCCGCGGUAAAACCAGCACCUCAAGUGGUCAGGAUGAUUAUUGGGCCUAAAGCAUCCGUAGCCUGUUCUAUAAGUUUCCGGUUAAAUCCAUACGCUCAACGUAUGGGCUGCCGAAAAUACUGUAGAACUAGGGAGUGGGAGAGGUAGACGG